ACAAGCGGUGGAGUAUGUGGUUUAAUUCGAUGCAACGCGAAGAACCUUACCUGGUCUUGACAUCCCGGAGACCCUUAGGAAACUAGGGGUGCUUCCAUCUGGAAGAAUCUGGAGACAGGUGCUGCAUGGCUGUCGUCAGCUCGUGUCGUGAGAUGUUGGGUUAAGUCCCGCAACGAGCGCAACCCUUGCCUUUAGUUGCCAGCAGUUCGGCUGGGCACUCUAAAGGGACUGCCGGUGUUAAACCGGAGGGAGGUGGGGAUGACGUCAAGUCCUCAUGGCCUUUAUGACCAGGGCUACACACGUACUACAAUGGCCGAUACAAAGGGCAGCGACACUGCGAGGUGAAGCCAAUCCCGUAAAAUCGGUCUCAGUCCGGAUUGGAGUCUGCAACUCGACUCCAUGAAGUUGGAAUCGCUAGUAAUCGUGGAUCAGCAUGCCACGGUGAAUACGUUCCCGGGCCUU
RNAcentral lists this ribosomal RNA (462 nucleotides) under uncultured Desulfobulbus sp. RNAcentral's name for it is "bacterial SSU rRNA". It matches the Rfam family "Bacterial small subunit ribosomal RNA", at positions 925 to 1382 of the family's 1533-position model. Lineage: Bacteria; Pseudomonadati; Thermodesulfobacteriota; Desulfobulbia; Desulfobulbales; Desulfobulbaceae. The record is from RNAcentral.